AGAGUUUGAUCCUGGCUCAGAUUGAACGCUAGCGGGAUGCUUUACACAUGCAAGUCGAACGGCAGCGCGAGAAAAGCUUGCUUUUCUUGGCGGCGAGUGGCGAACGGGUGAGUAAUAUAUCGGAACGUGCCCAGUAGCGGGGGAUAACUACGCGAAAGCGUGGCUAAUACCGCAUACGCCCUACGGGGGAAAGGGGGGGAUCGCAAGACCUCUCACUAUUGGAGCGGCCGAUAUCAGAUUAGCUAGUUGGUGGGGUAAAGGCCUACCAAGGCAGCGAUCUGUAGCUGGUUUGAGAGGACGACCAGCCACACUGGGACUGAGACACGGCCCAGACCCCUACGGGAGGCAGCAGUGGGGAAUUUUGGACAAUGGGGGAAACCCUGAUCCAGCCAUCCCGCGUGUGCGAUGAAGGCCUUCGGGUUGUAAAGCACUUUUGGCAGGGAAGAAACGGCGCUGGUUAAUACCUGGCGCAACUGACGGUACCUGCAGAAUAAGCACCGGCUAACUACGUGCCAGCAGCCGCGGUAAUACGUAGGGUGCAAGCGUUAAUCGGAAUUACUGGGCGUAAAGCGUGCGCAGGCGGUUCGGAAAGAAAGAUGUGAAAUCCCAGAGCUUAACUUUGGAACUGCAUUUUUAACUGUCGAACUAGAGUAUGUCAGAGGGGGGUAGAAUUCCACGUGUAGCAGUGAAAUGCGUAGAGAUGUGGAGGAAUACCGAUGGCGAAGGCAGCCCCCUGGGAUAAUACUGACGCUCAUGCACGAAAGCGUGGGGAGCAAACAGGAUUAGAUACCCUGGUAGUCCACGCCCUAAACGAUGUCAACUAGCUGUUGGGGCCUUCGGGCCUUAGUAGCGCAGCUAACGCGUGAAGUUGACCGCCUGGGGAGUACGGUCGCAAGAUUAAAACUCAAAGGAAUUGACGG
This 920-nucleotide ribosomal RNA is filed under the name uncultured bacterium. RNAcentral describes it as "bacterial SSU rRNA". It matches the Rfam family "Bacterial small subunit ribosomal RNA", at positions 8 to 916 of the family's 1533-position model. The record is from RNAcentral.